Molecule: long non-coding RNA, 1188 nt
Filed under: Homo sapiens (human)
Lineage: Eukaryota; Metazoa; Chordata; Mammalia; Primates; Hominidae
Description: HSALNT0318599
Source: RNAcentral
UAAGGAGCCAAGAAUUGUUAUUUGCAUGUUUUAAGCUACCACUCUUGGAGAGUGCCCACUAUGUGUCAGGUACCUUAUCUUAAAUAUUUAACCCUCACUACAAUUCUGUGAAAUAAAUAUUUUUCAUGCCUGGUCUCCAAAUUAAAAGACUGAGAAAGCUUGGAGAAGUUAGGCGAACAAGUCAAUGUCCAAUAUCUAGUAAGUUUCAGAGUCAUGUUUUAUAGUCAGAUAUGUAUGUAUUCAGAUAUAUCAACAAAAUUAGCCAAUGUAAUGGGGUUAUUGUAGGAGGUUGCAACUGGUGGUCUUAGGACACUGGGCAUUGCCCUAGACAUAAUGAAGAGAGUUGAGUUUGUAGACUCAGUUAUUGGGUACAACAAUCCUUCUUGCCCACAUCAGAAAUUGAUGGAGGUAAGGAAAGGAGCAUGUAGAGAAUCCUGUGGACAGAAAGCAUUCAUAAUCCAGCAUUGAUCUGGAAAGUAUAUCUUAUGUACCUGCUGAGCAUGUCAAGUUCUUACUCUUAGCUGCUGUCAGUAGGAUUGGCCAUCAGAUUCUGGAUUUUAUGUCAUAGUAGAAUCAAGUGUAUGUUUACUAUAAGUACUCUUAGGGCUUGUCUUACAGUAGGCAUUCAACUCAGUGCUUAUGAAUGACUAAAUAAAUGGGUGUGUUCUUUCCUGAAAUAGCAGAAAGCAGUAAUGUUCUUCUUCUAUUUAUACUCAAAAAAGGCUAUGUGCAAAGCAGGAGAGACAGCCUGGCAGUCUACACCUGUGCCAGUAAUCCCCCAACAAUCCUGUCAAGAUUAAUUUUCAGAGAGCUCUUACACAAGAAUAUUUGGUGACUUCAUGUUCUACAGUGAUCUAUUGAAUCAGAGGAAUCAAAAAUAGCCACUUUUUCCAUGGUCGUAGAGGGGUGUUACUCAUAUUACUUUUAUGAGAAAUGAGUAAGUGAGAUGGAUGCAUUGAAAUAUAUACUCUUUUCAAGUACAUAUGGAACAUUCCCCAGGAUAGAUUAUAUGCUAGGGCAUAAAACAAGUCUGAAUAAAUUUUUAAAAAAUUAUACAAAGUAUGGUCUCCAACCACAGUGGAAUGAAAUGAGAAAUCAGUAACAGAAGGAAAUUUAGAAAUUCACAAUUAUGUGGAAAUUAAGCAACACACUCUUGAGUAAUCAAUGGUCUGAAAAAUGCCAGAAAGA